Molecule: long non-coding RNA, 3305 nt
Filed under: Capsicum annuum
Lineage: Eukaryota; Viridiplantae; Streptophyta; Magnoliopsida; Solanales; Solanaceae
Description: long non-coding RNA (CANN_LNC021876)
Source: RNAcentral
UUGUCUUGGAAAAUAUUGAUACAAUGAUGAUGCCCGGUAAAUCCGGAGGAAUUAUUGAUACUACAAUGAUGCCCGGUUAAUUCGGAGGAAUAUGUGAUAUUAUGAUGAUGCUCGGUUCGAGUCCGAAGAAAUAUGUGAUAUUAUGAUGAUGCCCGGUGCGAGUCCGGAGGAAUAUGUGAUAUUAUGAUGAUGCCCGGUUAUAUGUGAUAUUAUGAUGAUGCCCGAUUCAAGUCCAGAGGAAUAUGUGAUAUUAUGAUGAUGCCCGGUUCGAGUCCGGAGGAAUGUGUGAUAUUAUGAUGAUGCCCGGUUCAAGUUCAGAGGAAUGUGUGAUAUUAUGAUGAUGCCCGGUUCGAGUCCAGAGGAAUGUGUGAUAUUAUGAUGAUGCCCGGUUCGAGUCCAGAGGAAUGUGUGAUAUUAUGAUGAUGCCCGAUUCGAGUCUGGAGGAAUGUGUGAUAUUAUGAUGAUGCCUGGUUCGAGUCCGGAGGAAUGUGUGAUAUUAUGAUGAUGCCCGGUUCGAGUCCGGAGGAAUAUGUGAUAUUAUAAUGAUGCUCAAUGAAUUCGGCGGAAUAUGUUGAUAUUGUGAUGAUGCCCGGUGAAUCCGGAAGAGGUAAGAACAUUUUGAUGCCAUGUGGGACAAAUUUACUUAUAUGCAUUGAUAUUUGUAAUGUUAGGCCGUGUGGGGCCAACCGCCUAUGUUCUAGAAUUAUGAGGUCUCUAUUGGUAAAUUAUUAAUUGUUUCUUAUUCCAAAUCACUAUAUAAGAGGUGUGACCCUUUUUUAUGCUAAACUAGCUACUAGAGGAAAUUUAUGCCUAAUAUUGAGUUAAGGCUUAGUGUUAUAUGUAAAUUUGCAUAAAAAUUCAAGGGCUAACCUAAUAUAUAUACUUGACUUGAAUAAGAGGUUAUAUUAUGAAAUAUUGCCUAGUAAGGUGGCUUAUGUUAUAAUUAGCUACUUCUAAAAUAUGUGAUUAUUAUUUGGAACCUAGAAGCCUAGUAAACUAGUUGGUGGACUUUACUCGAUUAAAAUAUGGAAAUUAGUCCUUAAGGUUGUGACAUGCUUGGUGAUGAUAGAUCUAGUAUUGUGUGAUGGAUAGUUAAAUUAUCUCCUAAUAUGUGAAAUUGAGAUGCCUUAAUUGAUAACUCAUGUCAUGAUGAUGCUAACUAAAAAAUGGCCUUAUGAUAGUUGAAUAACCUACACUAUGGGUGGCUUGUAGUUUUUUCCCCAAUUUGAUGACUAGUGAUUUUAAGACUGGUAAUCUUUUGACUUUUGAAAAAAAUAAGGUUAAUUAGUAUGGACCUUGCGGUAUUUAUCGAUGAAUUAUAGAACUAAUGAUUGCAUGCUAUGCUAUGACAAUGUUGCUUUCUUUAUGUUGAAUUAUGGUAUGGGUACUUGGAAGUGAAUUUCGGUAAUGAGUCAUGGCGAGUUUGUGCUACCCGCGGUUUUUGAUAAAUUGAUGGAGUAGUUGUGCUUUAUGGUAUUAUUGGUUGUAUUCUUUUGUGUACUCUCUGGUGGUAUGGGAGGCCAUGAUGAGUUCUUUGUUUUGCUAUCUUUCAUGUACUUCCCGGUGGUAUGGGAUGUCGUGGUAAGUUCUUGUGUGUAUGUUCUAAAGAUUAUUGAUGAUGAUUAUGGAAAGUAGAUGUUUUUCUAUUGUGUAUAUGGUUGUAUGCUUUCGAAAUAAUACUCAGCUGUUAUGGUGAUUAUGGAGUAUAUUGAAAUAGUAUGUCAUGUUAUUGCUUUAAUAGUAUAGAUGUUGUUACAGUGGUAUCAAAGUAGAUUCAGGUACGAUCCUAUCCCUUGACUUUAAGAUCAUUGUCUUUCUUUAUAUCGUCUUUACAUUAUAUUUGAGCUCAGUUGGCCGAUGAUGCCUACUGAGUACCAGUGUUUUGGUACUCAUACUACACUUCUGUACCUUUUUGGUGCAGGCCUAGGUACAGAGUUGACUAUUCGGAGACAGGGUGAGCUCUUGGGGAUCGAGUUGCCCUCUAUCCCUUCUAUCCUUAUUUGUCUUUUGCUUUCGUGACAUUUGUAGGAGAUUGUUUAAGGCAUUUUAGAUUCCGAGAUUGUAAAGUCCUCUUGUCAAGUUUAGAAGCUCUUGUAUUAAUACUAUCAGGUCGUGGGAUUUGUGUUUGAAUAUCGAUUGUCCUUAGUUGUGAAAUGUUGUUGUUAUAUGUUGUGUUCACAUCUAGGGUCCAAGUUGGACGUUCUUACCAAGGUAACCUAUUGCAAUAGCUCCGGAUUAUGGUAUCGGCUUACCUACCGGUGGGAUGUGGUAGGUGCCAUCAUGACUCGGAAAUUGGGUCAUGACAUCUUGAUGGUCCAAAUAUAGAAUAACGAUUUACUCUACGAUUGUAAAAGCCAGAAGCUAUACAUUUUUAGGUGCAACACUACUAGAGAGAGGAUAUGCAAUCAAUAUUGCCAAAAUUAUAAAAAAUAAACAGUUUGGAGGCAAGAAUAUGAAACUUUUAAUGAAUAAUUAGAUGUUAUAAUUCUGUACACUUGUUAUCAUGUAUCCAUUACGAAAUUCAUCACAGUUAGUUCAACAAACUAACAGUUGCGGAUUCUUUUGUUCUUGAAGGUAUAAAGUUGAUGAACAUCGGCUGGAACCGACUGAUACGAGCAAAGCAUUCUGAAGAUCUGCGGCUACACCUUUUUCGAUGAGUGAUAUGAUAUAAUGCAUGACCAGUGCAUCACAGGGUAAUGUAAUAGGACCAUCACUUGGAAGUCCAAACUCUUCUUCAGACAUGUGCAACAACUGUCUGAUUAUCUCGUGUUGGAGAUAAGCCAACGGAACCACAAAUCGCUUUUGAUCAUUUGUAUAUACCACAAAUUUCCCUUUGCCAACUAUAGAAGAUCUGCUACAACUCUCCGCAUUGUUGUAAUAGGACCUUGGAAAAGAAAUUCUCUUCCUUUGCUUGGCUGCGAACUUUUGCCAUUUUCUUGCCAUCUUGAUGAGUUUCUUGGUACUUAUCAUAUUAAUUUCUUUGGCGUAUAGGAAAGAAAAAAAUUGAUGAUAUUUCAAAAGAUUUGAUUUAGUGCUUUCUUGUUUGAUGAUCAAAAUGGCUUAUGGAAGUAGUUUAUUUAUAACUGAGGCUAGUUGUCAACUUGAGUUAGGUAUGUAAGGCAAAAUCAUGUGCUGCUGUUUAAUAUGGGACCUAUUGAAUUGUGGAUAUGGCUGGUUGUCUAAGUUUAAACAAAGAAGUUUAUGUGUUUAUUCAAUUCUCUGUCACCAUAUCUUUAAAUCAAGUGGUCCACGACGAGUUCAUCGAUUUUAUCCAUUCAUGUGGCUCUUAAAUUAUAAGGGUGUUU